Molecule: long non-coding RNA, 518 nt
Organism: Caenorhabditis elegans
Lineage: Eukaryota; Metazoa; Nematoda; Chromadorea; Rhabditida; Rhabditidae
Gene: Y71F9AM.9
Product: ncRNA
Source: Ensembl
CCAAAAAUGAAAUUCCAUCUUCUCAUCCUCCUUUCGUUCCUAAUUUCCUUGGCUUCAUGCCAAAUGUUCCACUCAUCUCCCGAAGUGUUAUCUAAUCAAGUCUACAAUCCAUAUCAUCAGUACUACAACGGUCACACUCAGCAUCAUCAUGGAGGAGGACAUGUCGUUCAUCAUGAUAACGGAGUCAAAUCGAGUCACGGAUUCUUUACGGUGUGCAGAGGAUGGACAUGUCAUUCAUAGGAUUUCGAGCAGAAAAAGUCGUGGCUGAACUUCUCCCUUAGUGUAAUAUCAAGCUUUUGAUCUCAUUUUCAAUUAUUAUACUUGUACUGAACAUGUAUCUUGAAUCAUUAUAUUUACUAUUAUCCAAUUUUCAUGUUCAUUGAUUCAUUCCCUGUGAAAAGCAGGGCGAAGGAAAACACCUUCUCAUUAUCAGAUAUGCCACUAUUUUGGUCUCUCAUUUCCGUGAUUUUUGUCAGGAAAAUCUUCAAAUGAAAUCUCAUAAAAAUGUUGGCAAAUAG